CCAGCCCACUGGCCGUCACAUCACACCUGAGGAUUGGUCAAGGUAUGACUGUGUGUUUCAGCUUUCUGCUGUCAAAGAAGACAUCAUCAUCAAACUGGACCAAAAAGUGAUCAAGAGUAACAGAGAUUAUUUAAUCUGUACAAGUCCCGAAGAGAACAAUGAUUAUUACCUCAAAGUUUUUGUGGGGUUUUUUUUUUGUUCUGCUCAUCACAGUCCUUGUUUUCAUCGUGUACAAGAUUACAGACUUGGAGACUUUGAAGUACUCCCCCAUCGCUGCACUGGUUCUUGCUCUCAUCCUUUGUUGUUUAACUGGAGUUCACUUUUAUAAAACAAAUACUGGUAAGCAAACAAAACAUUUAACUCAAAUCUUCACAUUAUAUACAUUAUAUAAAUACAACCUCAGGUCAGUGCAAAAAUUAAAAAGAGACCUCAAAAUAAUACAGAGGAAACCCCUAAAAUCUGUCGACAACCUAUGAAUAAGCAUUUGGUGGCAUUGGGAAGAAAAAAACACAUUUUUGACAUGAAGAACCAAACUCAGGAAGGAGCAGUUAUCUGCUGCAACCAGUUGAGGGUGGGGACAAACAGAGGGAAACGGGCCAGAAGACACAUUAUGGAAGAGAGCCAGAGUUUUAUCAACAGUUCUGCUGUUUUACUCUUUUUAAUGAGAAGAGACUAUCUCCUGAUUUCUCCGUAAUUCUUCGAUCUGAUUAUGCGUUGAAAUGGAGAGAGCCAUUACCUGGAAUACAAUGGGGACCCUGAAACAGGACGUAAUUAUAAGACCUUGACUUUACAUUAUUGAAGCAUUAAUGCAUUUGUUUUUUUAUUUACUGUUGAUUGAUGUGCACCCUAUUUUUUCGCUGACUUGUUGAAUGGACAUUAUAUGGCUCACUACUUGAAUGCAAACACAAGGCUGUGUUUGUAUAUUAUUUCAGUGCAAACUGUGUUUUGAAUUUAUCUUUGUACUGUGGAUUCAUAACUGUGUAGACUCACAAAUUAUCACGGUUAGCACUGGCCAACCGUGGGGAUGUGAGGAAGAAGGACCCAAAUGCUGGACUCUUUAUGAUAAACAGUGCAUUUAUUUACAGUGGUGUAAAUAAUCCACAGAAUAAUAAGUCCCCGUGUGUUCCCUUGACUCCCUUGUCGUGUCUUCCACCCACAAGUCCGUGCUCUUCCACUCCUGUGUGUCCCGCCACCCCGUGCUCACUGCUCUUGUCUUCCACGCUCCUUCCUGGAUAAAAUAACAAAGAAGCAACCAUCAGGAUACUCAACCACUGCAGGCAUGCACUCACUUAACUUGCCUCACAAAGACCACUGACGUGGAGUCUCACACAACAAUCCCGCGCCGAGGAGCGCUCGGCCACACUCUUAAGUAGCUCCCCGAUGAGGCUUCAUUAGCUGCAGGUGUGUGUGAUCAUCCGCUUCAGGCGUGGCCAGCCUCCAGAUGGGACACACCUACCAGGCCUGCCUGAAACCCAGUGCUCAGCCACACUCACAGACACACCCACUUGCCUAUACAUACAAGCAUGGAGAACACAAGAAUAGCAGCACAGUGCAGCAAACAUACAUCAUAUAUCAGUCCAUAACUGCUCAUGGACCCUGGAUCACUCAGAUCCAGGUCCCUGACACAAAUAAAACUAUGGGGAUGUUUGAGUAGUAAGUAAUGUUAGAGCAGAAAUGGAAAUGGGUUUAUGGCUGUCAUUUCUUCAAAGCUUGAUUUGUUUAAAAAAAAAAAAAAAGUUUUCAUCCUAAGUCUACGAGAUGGCAGCAGAGACUCUGUAAAUCUCCCUUUAGGGCUCACAGCAGAUUUUUGUCAGUGCGACUUGUCAUACAGUCCCGAUCAAAAGUUUAAAGACCAGUUGAAAAAUGGCAAAAAAAAUCAUAUUUUGCAUGGUUGGAUCUUCACAAGGUUCCAAGUCGAGCUUCAACACGCAACAAGAAGAAAUGAGACAAAACAUUUUUUGAGCAUGCAAUUUAUCGAAACCAACACUUAAACUGAAACAGGCUGUUUUACAGCUGAUCAGAAGUUUAGGACCACACCUGCAAAAAAACCCAUAAACUCCCCAAAACAGAAAUCAAAGUUCCAAACAUGAACUCAAUAAUGAGUAGCUCCACCGUUAUUGUUAAUCACUUCAAAAUUCAUUGAGGCAUACUUGAUGUAAGCGUUUCCAUGAGGUGAGUGGGAACAUUUCCCGAAGUGGUGAAGACGGCCACACGAAGGCAAUCUACUGUCUGGAACUGUUGUGUCUGGAUAUGUUCUAGCCUUUUUAAAGGUAUAAUACAAAGUGAUUAUCUUUUUGUGUUUACAAACACUGCCCCGCUCAACAAGUGAGCAGUGUCGGUCAAACCAGUUAGAAGAUAAAUAUAGAGAAGCAGCAUUAGCAAAAAGCCAUGAAUAAUACAUAAUUAUCAGAAAUGACAUGAAGUGACAAAGUAAAUAUAACAUUUUUUUUAAUCUGUCUAACUUAUAAACUUUUUAUGUUUGAUCUAUAUUAUAUAUGUGGGAUGGGAUUUAUGGGAUUUGGACAGCUGCAUUCAAAAAGAACAUAUUUCUUCUUCACAUACUAAAUGCCAAAUUCUAUAACCUGUUUGUGUGUUUUGAUUUUUGAGCUGGCUGUAUAUAUUUUUAAAAAGUGCAAAUUUGGGAGUAUGGAUUAAAACACAAAUUCAAAAAAUAAACUCUGCAUUUCCACAACUGAGAUCUCACCUUUCCUCUUUGGUAACGACUGCCACAGCUGCCACGGCUGCCACGAUUACCACAACUGCAAUGGAAACGAUAACUAGAACAACGAUUGCAGCUCCAAUGUCAGUGGGAUUCUCUGUUGAAUAGAAUAUGGAAGGACUUUAAUAAUAAAUUUGUGCUGUUACUUAAAAAUAAGUGAAGAACAAAUCAGUAAGGACCUGGUAGUUGAUGCAUCUUAUAUCUCUGAUUGAAAUAAUAAGAUUUAUCAGUUCCACAGUUGGUACCUCAUUACUUUUUGCUCACUUCAGUUAUCUAUCAUGUGUCCCC
Oreochromis aureus is the source of this 3007-nucleotide long non-coding RNA. The record is from Ensembl. NCBI's taxonomy places the organism in Eukaryota, Metazoa, Chordata, Actinopteri, Cichliformes, Cichlidae.